Molecule: unclassified non-coding RNA, 1899 nt
Filed under: Hevea brasiliensis (rubber tree)
Lineage: Eukaryota; Viridiplantae; Streptophyta; Magnoliopsida; Malpighiales; Euphorbiaceae
Source: RNAcentral
UGCAUUUCACUUCUAUUUCCUUUCACUCAUCUCUGCACUUCUCUUGCUCUCUCUCUCUCUCUCAUUUUCUAUUUUUAAUAACUUGAAACAUUAUUUCUAAGAAGAAUCUAACCUGAAUUGUAUGCUUUGAUCAUCCCACUUUGGCACUGUUAUCAUUUCUUCCUCACAACUGCUAUAGUACUUUGGCAUACCUAAUGUUGCUUUCAGUUUCUCAACUAGUAAUUCAUAACUUGUGCUUUUAUAUUGUAUUUAGCAGUAGCACUGUCAUAUGCAGUUAACGACUGCCUGAAUUGGAUAGAGAAGACAAACCUAAAAUUUGGUCAUGUGUAGCAGAAUAUAGAUGAAUUUUGAUGAUUUUGAAGUGAAUAACCUAUUUAGCUGUUGUACCUUUACAAUUUUAGUCUAAUGCAUUCUUGGUUAAUUGUGAUUGCUCAACUUCUUUGAGAGCCAUGGCUGAUUUUUCUUUUCCCCUUAGGGCAUUCAUAAUUUCACAUGCUAUUUCAAAAUUCUGCCUGUCUGUCCUCCCUAUGCGUAUGUGUCUGCCCAUUAGCUUUAAAGAAUUAGCAGUGCCAGUGCAAAAGUUAACAAUGUCAAACACUGCCUUUCUGCAUUAAUAUGUUCGAGUGAGAGUUUAGUGGUGAUGGUAAUUUUGUUAAUGCUAAGGGUUCUAUCUAGUUUUCAUUCUUACUCUUACAGAGUUGUUUUUGUUUUGAAACGCGUUUCUUGAAAAUUAUGUACAAAUUCUGCUUGAUUGCCCAAUUUUGAAUCAUAUGACUUCCUGUUGAUAUUUAAGAUUAACUACAACAACUUGGUUGAAUUGUAUGGUGGUACUGUUAAACCAAAUCAGUGUUUCAGAAAGACAAAAUUCUUUUGCAAUUUAUUUGACUAGGAUUUCAGGAAUCACCAUUUUUUUGGGAGGUUGGGGGAUGAUUUCCUUCAUGUUUUGUUAAAAAUUCAGAUAAAGAUUUUCUGCCAUUUGUUUCCAGCUCAGUAAGUGCAAAUAUAUUUUGAAUUUUGAAUAAAGCAAGUUUUUGUUGAACAUUUUCAGAAUGUGAUUUUCUGUAGAAAAUGGUUUCUUCCGUAUACAACCAAACAGUAGGGUAUAUUGUGAUGUUAACAGUUAACAAUUGCUGUAAUAACACUUGUCUUGCUUUACAUUGGUUCAUAUUUUUAAUUUCGAAUUUUGAAUAAAGCAAUUUAUUGUUGAACAAUUCAGAUUGUGAUAAUCAAUAAAAACUAACAAUUGUGGUGAUGGUGAAAACCAUCAGAAAUGGUUGCGAAUAAGCUUAACAUGCUUCCUAGUACGCAUACGUGGUGUGGUUUAUACCAUUUAUUAUGCAAGAUGGUGCUUCUAAAACUUUUACUUGCAUGUAUUGGUGGAAAAAUGGCAUUCAUGGGUCACAUUUGGACUUCCUGUCAUGUUCAUGCUCCAUAAUUUGGCUGCAAAGAUGUGUGUGGCAUCCAUGGGUAGUGAUGCGCAUUUUGGUGGCUGGAUCAAUGACUAUGAUCUACCCUAAUUUUAGACAAUAUAUAUACUGUAAAUGGUUUUAUUCUUAGUUGAUAUUUUUGUUUUGCUUCUUAUCAAGCAAACCUUGGAAGUUAAUGAUGUUUUUGUCUAAGUCAUGUACUACUUGGGCAUUAAAUGGACAUCUGUGACCUGUUACAGAUUAUCUUAUCACAAGAGAAGAAUAUUUUUAGACUCAACGAACUUGUCCGGAGUCUUCGGCAGCAACUACUGCUGUGCAGGUGCAAUAAUGAGACCACAAAUGGCAUCUCUGGCCCUUUUACUGAACAUGUUAUUGAGGUGGAGCGAGAGCAGAUCCUGGAAGACUAGGAUAGGUUCUUAUGAGCUGUUUUUCAGUGUUUUUAGGUAAUGUUGAAACUGUAAAACUUUUGGUU